ACGUACAGCCAUAUCACCCUGCAACUCACACCUGGCAACCCACUGAAGCUAAGCAGGUGUGAGCCUGGUCAGUACCUGGAUGGGAGACCUCCUGGGAAAAACUAAGGUUGCUGCUGGAA
Ribosomal RNA from Lepisosteus oculatus (spotted gar), 119 nucleotides. NCBI's taxonomy places the organism in Eukaryota, Metazoa, Chordata, Actinopteri, Semionotiformes, Lepisosteidae. The record is from Ensembl.